UACGUAGGAGGCAAGCGUUGUUCGGAAUUACUGGGCGUAAAGGGCGCGUAGGCGGCCGCCUAAGUCAGACGUGAAAUCCCUCGGCUCAACCGGGGAACUGCGUCUGAUACUGGGUGGCUUGAAUUCGGGAGAGGGAUGCGGAAUUCCAGGUGUAGCGGUGAAAUGCGUAGAUAUCUGGAGGAAUACCGGUGGCGAAGGCGGCAUCCUGGACCGACAUUGACGCUGAGGAGCGAAAGCUAGGGGAGCAAACGGG
Molecule: ribosomal RNA, 253 nt
Filed under: uncultured bacterium
Lineage: Bacteria
Description: partial 16S ribosomal RNA
Rfam family: Bacterial small subunit ribosomal RNA
Source: RNAcentral